This 109-nucleotide non-coding RNA is filed under the name Echinicola vietnamensis. RNAcentral's name for it is "SAM-I sequence". It matches the Rfam family "SAM riboswitch aptamer (S box leader)". From Rfam's summary of the family: The SAM riboswitch is found upstream of a number of genes which code for proteins involved in methionine or cysteine biosynthesis in Gram-positive bacteria. The SAM riboswitch acts at the level of transcription termination control. The predicted structure consists of a complex stem-loop region followed by a single stem loop terminator region. Lineage: Bacteria; Pseudomonadati; Bacteroidota; Cytophagia; Cytophagales; Cyclobacteriaceae. RNAcentral also lists the same sequence under 1 other name. The record is from RNAcentral.
GAUUUAUACAGAAGAGGCGAGAGACCAGGCUCUGCGACCCUCUGGCAACCAUUCGAGACAGCGAAAAGGUGCCAAUACCUGCCCAAAAAAAUUGAGGGAACUAUAAAUU